Molecule: ribosomal RNA, 437 nt
Filed under: uncultured bacterium
Lineage: Bacteria
Description: bacterial SSU rRNA
Rfam family: Bacterial small subunit ribosomal RNA
Source: RNAcentral
AGAGUUUGAUCCUGGCUCAGAAUCAACGCUGGCGGCGUGCCUAACACAUGCAAGUCGAACGAGAAAGGGUAGCAAUACCUGAGUAAAGUGGCGCACGGGUGAGUAACACGUGACUAACCCUACCCCUGGAGUGGGGAUAACUGAGGGAAACCUUAGCUAAUACCGCAUAACACCUACCGGGUCAAGGAGUAAUCCGCCUUGGGGAGGGGGUCGCGGCGAUUAGUUAGUGGGCGGGGUAAUGCCCACCAGACGAUGAUCGUAUCCGCCUGAGAGGGCCCCGACCCCGGAAACUGAACCCGGUCAGACUCUACGGAGGAGCCGUGGGAAUUUUGCCCAAUGGGGAAACCCGACCCCCACCCGCGGGGAAGAUAGGGGCUCGGUAGUACCCCUUUCGAUCGAACGAUAUGACGGACCAAAAAAAAAAGCCCCGGCUAACC